Molecule: ribosomal RNA, 468 nt
Filed under: uncultured bacterium
Lineage: Bacteria
Description: partial 16S ribosomal RNA
Rfam family: Bacterial small subunit ribosomal RNA
Source: RNAcentral
GACGAACGCUGGCGGCGUGCUUAACACAUGCAAGUCGAACGGAAAGGCCCUGCUUUUGUGGGGUGCUCGAGUGGCGAACGGGUGAGUAACACGUGAGUAACCUGCCCUUGACUUUGGGAUAACUUCAGGAAACUGGGGCUAAUACCGGAUAGGAGCUCCUGCUGCAUGGUGGGGGUUGGAAAGUUUCGGCGGUUGGGGAUGGACUCGCGGCUUAUCAGCUUGUUGGUGGGGUAGUGGCUUACCAAGGCUUUGCCGGGUGGCCGGCCUGAGAGGGUGACCGGCCACAUUGGGACUGAGAUACGGCCCAGACUCCUACGGGAGGCAGCAGUGGGGAAUAUUGCACAAUGGGCGGAAGCCUGAUGCAGCAACGCCGCGUGCGGGAUGACGGCCUUCGGGUUGUAAACCGCUUUCGCCUGUGACGAAGCGUGAGUGACGGUAAUGGGUAAAGAAGCACCGGCUAACUACGUG